RNAcentral lists this ribosomal RNA (514 nucleotides) under Bacillus cereus. Its description in RNAcentral is "bacterial SSU rRNA". It matches the Rfam family "Bacterial small subunit ribosomal RNA", at positions 35 to 530 of the family's 1533-position model. The record is from RNAcentral. Lineage: Bacteria; Bacillati; Bacillota; Bacilli; Caryophanales; Bacillaceae.
AGCUGGCGGCGUGCCUAUACAUGCAGUCGAGCGAAUGGAUUAAGAGCUUGCUCUUAUGAAGUUAGCGGCGGACGGGUGAGUAACACGUGGGUAACCUGCCCAUAAGACUGGGAUAACUCCGGGAAACCGGGGCUAAUACCGGAUAACAUUUUGAACCGCAUGGUUCGAAAUUGAAAGGCGGCUUCGGCUGUCACUUAUGGAUGGACCCGCGUCGCAUUAGCUAGUUGGUGAGGUAACGGCUCACCAAGGCAACGAUGCGUAGCCGACCUGAGAGGGUGAUCGGCCACACUGGGACUGAGACACGGCCCAGACUCCUACGGGAGGCAGCAGUAGGGAAUCUUCCGCAAUGGACGAAAGUCUGACGGAGCAACGCCGCGUGAGUGAUGAAGGCUUUCGGGUCGUAAAACUCUGUUGUUAGGGAAGAACAAGUGCUAGUUGAAUAAGCUGGCACCUUGACGGUACCUAACCAGAAAGCCACGGCUAACUACGUGCCAGCAGCCGCGGUAAUACGUAG